UGGGGAAUUUUGCACAAUGGAGGAAACUCUGAUGCAGCGACGCCGCGUGAGUGAUGAAGAUCUUCGGAUUGUAAAACUCUGUCCUUAGUGAAGAUAAUGACAGUAACUAAGAAGCAAGCCCUGGCUAAAUACGUGCCAGCAGCCGCGGUAAUACGUAUGGGGCAAGCGUUGUCCGGAAUUAUUGGGCGUAAAGGGUACGUAGGCGGUUUAAUAAGUCCUAAUUAAAAGGCUAUGGCUCAACCAUAGUAUGGUUAGGAAACUGUUGAACUUGAGUAGAUGGGGGGAAAGUGGAAUUCCAUGUGUAGCGGUGAAAUGCGUAGAUAUAUGGAGGAACACCAAUGGCGAAGGCAACUUUCUGGAAUCAAACUGACGCUGAGGUACGAAGGCGUGGGGAGCAAACAGG
Molecule: ribosomal RNA, 403 nt
Filed under: Fusobacteriota bacterium
Lineage: Bacteria; Fusobacteriati; Fusobacteriota
Description: Fusobacteria bacterium partial 16S ribosomal RNA
Rfam family: Bacterial small subunit ribosomal RNA
Source: RNAcentral